This 505-nucleotide ribosomal RNA is filed under the name uncultured bacterium. RNAcentral describes it as "bacterial SSU rRNA". It matches the Rfam family "Bacterial small subunit ribosomal RNA", at positions 29 to 526 of the family's 1533-position model. The record is from RNAcentral.
AAUGAACGUUGGCGGCGUGGAUUAGGCAUGCAAGUCGAGCGAGAAUUUGCGAUUGGAAGCUUCGGCCGAAGAAAGUGAAGGAAAGCGGCAAACGGCGUAGUAAGGCGUAGGUACGUACCCUCGGGUCGGGAAUAGCCAUGGGAAACUGUGGGUAAUGCCCGAUAAUCUCUGCGGAGCAAAGGUGUGAUUCCGCCGGAGGAGCGGCUUACGUGAUAUUAGCUAGUUGGUGGGGUAAUGGCCUACCAAGGCAACGAUGUCUAGGGGGUGUGAGAGCAUGGCCCCCACGACCGGAACUGAGACACUGUCCGGACACCUACGGGUGGCUGCAGUCGAGAAUCUUCCGCAAUGGGCGAAAGCCUGACGGAGCGACGCCGCGUGGUGGAUGAAGGCCCUUGGGUUGUAAACACCUGUCAGAGGGGAUGAAAUCAUGGUUGGCAAUCCUUCCAUGUUGACAGAGCCUCAGAGGAAGCACGGGCUAAGUACGUGCCAGCAGCCGCGGUUAAAG